GCGGCGUGCUUAACACAUGCAAGUCGAACGAUGAACCUCCUUCGGGAGGGGAUUAGUGGCGAACGGGUGAGUAACACGUGGGCAAUCUGCCCUUCACUCUGGGACAAGCCCUGGAAACGGGGUCUAAUACCGGAUACGACACGGGGUCGCAUGACCUCCGUGUGGAAAGCUCCGGCGGUGAAGGAUGAGCCCGCGGCCUAUCAGCUUGUUGGUGGGGUGAUGGCCUACCAAGGCGACGACGGGUAGCCGGCCUGAGAGGGCGACCGGCCACACUGGGACUGAGACACGGCCCAGACUCCUACGGGAGGCAGCAGUGGGGAAUAUUGCACAAUGGGCGAAAGCCUGAUGCAGCGACGCCGCGUGAGGGAUGACGGCCUUCGGGUUGUAAACCUCUUUCAGCAGGGAAGAAGCGAGAGUGACGGUACCUGCAGAAGAAGCGCCGGCUAACUACGUGCCAGCAGCCGCGGUAAUACGUAGGGCGCAAGCGU
This 488-nucleotide ribosomal RNA is filed under the name Streptomyces sp. Sp080513G1-25. Its description in RNAcentral is "bacterial SSU rRNA". It matches the Rfam family "Bacterial small subunit ribosomal RNA", at positions 39 to 541 of the family's 1533-position model. The record is from RNAcentral. Lineage: Bacteria; Bacillati; Actinomycetota; Actinomycetes; Kitasatosporales; Streptomycetaceae.